AACUCACGUUUUUUCUUUCCUUCCCUUCUCUUCCCUUCCCUUCCCUUCCUUUACUAAUGUUGAACCAAAUAGGGCCUAAAAUUAACGCCUUACCCCCAUUUCUGCCCCCCUUAACCUAAUUUCUUUGAUGCUUUCUUCCUUCUUGUUCUUUCAUCUUCUUCCUCCCCGUGACUCAUUUUCUUUCUCUCUCCCCAGCUUGGUUUGGUGUCUUCAAUGGACAGAGACAAAAGUUCAAUGGUCAAAACUCUUGCAAGGUCCAUCAAAACUUCCGCGUGCAUCCUCAAAUUUCUAUCAUGGUAUCCGAGCCGGAAAAGUGAUUACGACAAAAUUGAAGAUCGGAGACCCAAGACAUGAAGGGUUAUGAGAUUUGAAGAAAGAGAUACAAAUCACAAGUUUUCUGAAUCUGAGGCUCUUGUGGUAGUUUGACAAAUUUCGAGCGGGUCAUCAUCAAUGUCUUCUCCUGCAGAGGAAUUAGCCACCCCAUAUUUGCUGAACUUGAUCUUCCUCCUGGGCUCUUAACUGUUCCCCCUUUGAGGCACCAGGUUUAUAUGGCAUAAUAUGUUCAUCUGUUGUUAACAGAAAAUUGCAUUGCCAAUGUCAUGGAUGGUUGAGAAAGAGUGAAGAACUAUGCAUUGUUUGGGUGGAAUUCUUGCAUACGACCAGGGACUCGGUAAAACAGUGGCCCAGAUGAAGUUGCUGUCGGAGCUUUAAAGCUUUGAACUUGGAUGGCGAUGAAAUGACAACAUAGGAAAUAAAAUCGAGGAUCCUAUGAUCACGUGCGAUACAACAACUUUUUAUGGAGUAUACAUUAGUGCUUGAAAUAACUUCAAUCUGAUGUAUAUUGUUCCUGGAAUCCAAGCAUAUGAUGAUUUUCUGGUCAUUAAGUAUAUGACUACACUAUAAUCUAUAAUAAUUAUUCGUACAUUGCAUAAUGCAUGGUCAAACAGCACUAGCGUUUGAACUAUGAAUGUCGAACGUUUAUGUAUUUUGCUAAGUUUGGGGACUGCAUGAGAAUAUGAGAUUGCUAUAGCGUAUACAAUCUAUUUUUCAA
Molecule: long non-coding RNA, 1051 nt
Organism: Spinacia oleracea (spinach)
Lineage: Eukaryota; Viridiplantae; Streptophyta; Magnoliopsida; Caryophyllales; Amaranthaceae
Exons: 5
Source: RefSeq, a predicted model, not a curated record